UACAGAGGGUGCAAACGUUGCUCGGAAUUAUUGGGCGUAAAGCGCGUGUAGGCGGCUUGUUAAGUUGGUCGUGAAAGCCCAUGGCUCAACCAUGGAAGUGCAACCAAAACUGGCAAGCUUGAGUUCUGAAGAGGAUGGCGGAAUUCCCAGUGUAGAGGUGAAAUUCGUAGAUAUUGGGAGGAACAUCGGUGGCGAAGGCGGCCAUCUGGGAAGCGACUGACGCUGAGACGCGAAAGCGUGGGUAGCAAACAGG
RNAcentral lists this ribosomal RNA (253 nucleotides) under uncultured bacterium. RNAcentral's name for it is "partial 16S ribosomal RNA". It matches the Rfam family "Bacterial small subunit ribosomal RNA", at positions 524 to 776 of the family's 1533-position model. The record is from RNAcentral.